CCUCCGGGAGGCAGCAGUGGGGAAUAUUGGGCAAUGGGCGCAAGCCUGACCCAGCAACGCCGUGUGAAGGAAGAAGGCUUUCGGGUUGUAAACUUCUUUUGUCAGGGAAGAGUAGAAGACGGUACCUGACGAAUAAGCCACGGCUAACUACGUGCCAGCAGCCGCGGUAAUACGUAGGUGGCAAGCGUUGUCCGGAUUUACUGGGUGAAAAGGGCGUGUAGCCGGGUUGAAAAGUCAGAUGUGAAAUCCGGCGGCCUAACCGAAGAACUGCAUUUGAAACUGUUGAUCUGGAGUACUGGAGAGGCAGACGGAAUUCCUAGUGUAGCGGUGAAAUGCGUAGAUAUUAGGAGGAACACCAGUGGCGAAGGCGGUCUGCUGGACAGCAACUGACGGUGGGGCGCGAAAGCGUGGGAGCAAACAGGAUUAGAUACCCCAGUAGUC
This 441-nucleotide ribosomal RNA is filed under the name uncultured bacterium. RNAcentral describes it as "partial 16S ribosomal RNA". It matches the Rfam family "Bacterial small subunit ribosomal RNA", at positions 338 to 795 of the family's 1533-position model. The record is from RNAcentral.